This 258-nucleotide ribosomal RNA is filed under the name uncultured bacterium. RNAcentral's name for it is "partial 16S ribosomal RNA". It matches the Rfam family "Bacterial small subunit ribosomal RNA", at positions 99 to 353 of the family's 1533-position model. The record is from RNAcentral.
CGAACGGGUGAGUAACGCGUGAGGAACCUGCCUCAAAGAGGGGGACAACAGUUGGAAACGACUGCUAAUACCGCAUAAGCCCACGGCUCGGCAUCGAGCAGAGGGAAAAGGAGCAAUCCGCUUUGAAAUGGCCUCGCGUCCGAUUAGCUAGUUGGUGAGGUAAUGGCCCACCAAGGCGACGAUCGGUAGCCGGACUGAGAGGUUGAACGGCCACAUUGGGACUGAGACACGGCCCAGACUCCUACGGGAGGCAGCAUG